Molecule: ribosomal RNA, 377 nt
Filed under: uncultured eukaryote
Lineage: Eukaryota
Description: partial 18S ribosomal RNA
Rfam family: Eukaryotic small subunit ribosomal RNA
Source: RNAcentral
CAAUAGCGUAUAUUAAAGUUGUUGCAGUUAAAAAGCUCGUAGUUGGAUUUCGGGGUGGCCUGGCUGGUCCGCCGCAAGGUGAGUACUGGUCAGCCGCCCUUCCUCUCGAAAGCCCCGACUGCUCUUUACUGCAGUGGUCGGGUAGUUCGGGACGUUUACUUUGAAAAAAUUAGAGUGUUCAAGGCAGGCUAUCACCUGAAUACAUUAGCAUGGAAUAAUGGAAGAGGACCUCGGUCCUAUUUUGUUGGUUUCUAGGGCCGAAGUAAUGAUUAAGAGGGACAGUUGGGGGCAUUCGUAUUUAAUUGUCAGAGGUGAAAUUCUUGGAUUUAUGAAAGACGAACUAGUGCGAAAGCAUUUGCCAAGGAUGUUUUCAUUAA